This 277-nucleotide ribosomal RNA is filed under the name uncultured type I methanotroph. RNAcentral describes it as "partial 16S ribosomal RNA". It matches the Rfam family "Bacterial small subunit ribosomal RNA", at positions 202 to 467 of the family's 1533-position model. The record is from RNAcentral. Lineage: Bacteria; Pseudomonadati; Pseudomonadota; Gammaproteobacteria; Methylococcales; Methylococcaceae.
AAGCGGGGGAUCUUCGGACCUCGCGCUAACAGAUGAGCCUGCGUUGGAUUAGCUAGUUGGUAGGGUAAAGGCCUACCAAGGCGACGAUCCAUAGCUGGUCUGAGAGGACGAUCAGCCACACUGGGACUGAGACACGGCCCAGACUCCUACGGGAGGCAGCAGUGGGGAAUAUUGGACAAUGGGCGCAAGCCUGAUCCAGCAAUACCGCGUGUGUGAAGAAGGCCUGAGGGUUGUAAAGCACUUUUAAUCGGGAGGAAUAGCUGUCGGCCAAUACCCG